UAUUAGAUAAAGAACCAAUAUUUUUGGUGACUCAUAAUAACUUUACGGAUCACAUUAUGUGACAUAUCAUUCAAGUUUCUGACCUAUCAGCUUUAGACGGUAGGGUAUUGGCCUACCGUGGCUAUGACGGGUAACGGGGAAUUAGGGUUCGAUUCCGGAGAGGGAGCCUGAGAAACGGCUACCACAUCUAAGGAAGGCAGCAGGCGCGCAAAUUACCCAAUCCUAAUACAGGGAGGUAGUGACAAGAAAUAACAAUACAGGACCUUACGGUUUUGUAAUUGGAAUGAGUUAAGUAUAAACCCCUUAACAAGUAUCAAUUGGAGGGCAAGUCUGGUGCCAGCAGCCGCGGUAAUUCCAGCUCCAAUAGCGUAUAUUAAAGUUGUUGCAGUUAAAAAGCUCGUAGUUAAUUUUCUGUUAAUUUUUAUAUACAAUACUACGGUAUUUAUAUAAUAUUAACAUAAUUCAUAUUACUUUUUAGUAUAUGAAACUUUACUUUGAGAAAAUUAGAGUGCUUAAAGCAGGCUAUUGCCUUGAAUACUCCAGCAUGGAAUAAUAUUAAGGAUUUUUAUUCUUCUUAUUGGUUCUAGAAUAAAAAUAAUGAUUAAUAGGGACAGUUGGGGGCAUUUGUAUUUAACAGUCAGAGGUGAAAUUCUUAGAUUUGUUAAAGACAAACUACUGCGAAAGCAUUUGCCAAGGAUGUUUUCAUUAAUCAAGAACGAAAGUUAGGGGAUCGAAGACGAUCAGAUACCGUCGUAGUCUUAACCAUAAACUAUGCCAACUAGAGAUUGGAGGUUGUC
RNAcentral lists this ribosomal RNA (797 nucleotides) under Cryptosporidium sp. RNAcentral's name for it is "SSU rRNA". It matches the Rfam family "Eukaryotic small subunit ribosomal RNA", at positions 208 to 1064 of the family's 1831-position model. Lineage: Eukaryota; Apicomplexa; Conoidasida; Eucoccidiorida; Cryptosporidiidae. The record is from RNAcentral.